AAAUUGAAGAGUUUGAUCAUGGCUCAGAUUGAACGCUGGCGGCAGGCCUAACACAUGCAAGUCGAACGGUAACAGGAAGCAGCUUGCUGCUUCGCUGACGAGUGGCGGACGGGUGAGUAAUGUCUGGGAAGCUGCCUGAUGGAGGGGGAUAACUACUGGAAACGGUAGCUAAUACCGCAUAAUGUCGCAAGACCAAAGAGGGGGACCUUCGGGCCUCUUGCCAUCGGAUGUGCCCAGAUGGGAUUAGCUUGUUGGUGGGGUAACGGCUCACCAAGGCGACGAUCCCUAGCUGGUCUGAGAGGAUGACCAGCCACACUGGAACUGAGACACGGUCCAGACUCCUACGGGAGGCAGCAGUGGGGAAUAUUGCACAAUGGGCGCAAGCCUGAUGCAGCCAUGC
This 400-nucleotide ribosomal RNA is filed under the name Escherichia coli. RNAcentral's name for it is "bacterial SSU rRNA". It matches the Rfam family "Bacterial small subunit ribosomal RNA", at positions 1 to 397 of the family's 1533-position model. RNAcentral also lists the same sequence under 1 other name. Lineage: Bacteria; Pseudomonadati; Pseudomonadota; Gammaproteobacteria; Enterobacterales; Enterobacteriaceae. The record is from RNAcentral.